RNAcentral lists this ribosomal RNA (528 nucleotides) under Petasospora americana. Its description in RNAcentral is "eukaryotic LSU rRNA". It matches the Rfam family "Eukaryotic large subunit ribosomal RNA", at positions 103 to 646 of the family's 3401-position model. The record is from RNAcentral. Lineage: Eukaryota; Fungi; Ascomycota; Saccharomycetes; Phaffomycetales; Wickerhamomycetaceae.
ACGGACUCAAAUUUGAAAUCUAGUACCUCCGGUGCUCGAGUUGUAAUUUGAAGAUAGUUUUCUCGGUACUGGCCCUUGUCUAUGUUCCUUGGAACAGGACGUCAUAGAGGGUGAGAAUCCCGUCUGAUGGGGUGUCCAGUGCUUUGUAGAUUUCUAUCGAAGAGUCGAGUUGUUUGGGAAUGCAGCUCUAAGUGGGUGGUAAAUUCCAUCUAAAGCUAAAUACUGGCGAGAGACCGAUAGCGAACAAGUACAGUGAUGGAAAGAUGAAAAGAACUUUGAAAAGAGAGUGAAAAAGUACGUGAAAUUGUUGAAAGGGAAGGGUAUUGGAUCAGACUUGGUGUUUUGUGAUUAUCUUCCCUUCUUGGGUUGUGCACUCGCAUUUCACUGGGCCAGCAUCGGUUCGGAUGGCAAGAUAAUGGCUUGGGAACGUGGCACUCUUCGGAGUGUGUUAUAUCCCUUGUUGAUGUUGCCUAUCUGGACCGAGGACUGCGGCUUCUGCCUAGGAUGCUGGCGUAAUUGAUUAAUACC